Molecule: transfer RNA, 66 nt
Filed under: Abscondita chinensis
Lineage: Eukaryota; Metazoa; Arthropoda; Insecta; Coleoptera; Lampyridae
Description: tRNA-Arg
Source: RNAcentral
UAAAUAAGAAACAAAAAUUUGUAAUUAGUUUCGACCUAGUUUUUGAUGAUAAACCAUCCUUAUUUA